This 253-nucleotide ribosomal RNA is filed under the name uncultured bacterium. RNAcentral's name for it is "partial 16S ribosomal RNA". It matches the Rfam family "Bacterial small subunit ribosomal RNA", at positions 524 to 776 of the family's 1533-position model. The record is from RNAcentral.
UACAGAGGGUGCGAGCGUUAAUCGGAAUUACUGGGCGUAAAGCGUGCGUAGACGGUUAUUUAAGUCGGGUGUGAAAGCCCCGGGCUCAACCUGGGAAUUGCAUUCGAGACUGAAUAGCUAGGGUACGGUAGAGGGAAGCGGAAUUUCCGGUGUAGCGGUGAAAUGCGUAGAUAUCGGAAGGAACAUCAGUGGCGAAAGCGGCUUCCUGGACCAGAACCGACGUUCAGGCACGAAAGCGUGGGGAGCAAACAGG